RNAcentral lists this ribosomal RNA (441 nucleotides) under uncultured bacterium. Its description in RNAcentral is "partial 16S ribosomal RNA". It matches the Rfam family "Bacterial small subunit ribosomal RNA", at positions 338 to 795 of the family's 1533-position model. The record is from RNAcentral.
CCUACGGGUGGCAGCAGUCGGGAAUAUUGCACAAUGGAGGAAACUCUGACGCAGUAACGCCGCGUGCGUGAAGAAGGUUUUCGGAUUGUAAAAUGCUGUAGACAGGGAAGAAACAGGGCAGUACCUGUAGAAUACGCUCCGACUAACUACGAGCCAGCAGCCGCGGUAAUACGUAGGGAGCAAGCGUUAUCCGGAUUUAUUGGGUGUAAGGGGUGCGUAGACGGGAAGUCAAGUCGGUUGUGAAAGCCCUCGGCUUAACUGAGGAAGUGCAACCAAAACUAACUUGCUUGAGUGCUGGAGAGGAGAGUGGAAUUCCUAGUGUAGCGGUGAAAUGCGUAGAUAUUAGGAGGAACACCAGUGGCGAAGGCGACUCUCUGGACAGUAACUGACGUUGAGGUACGAAAGUGUGGGUAGCAAACAGGAUUAGAUACCCCUGUAGUC